This is an RNA transcript of Musa acuminata AAA Group (dessert banana), 2149 nucleotides long. It is a transcript of the gene named DEAD-box ATP-dependent RNA helicase 14-like, with no coding region annotated. The record is from RefSeq and is a predicted model, not a curated record. NCBI's taxonomy places the organism in Eukaryota, Viridiplantae, Streptophyta, Magnoliopsida, Zingiberales, Musaceae. The transcript has 7 exons.
CUUUCCUCGUUUGCGUACUCGCCGAAGCGGUUUCCUUUGCGUUGCGCUCUCGGUUCAAUUUUGGGCGGAGGCGCAUCGCUUGUCAUGGCGAAGGGAGACGACGCGGUGAGGCGGAGGAAGAACAAGACCGGCCGCAAGCGGAUGCGGAACAGCGAAUCCGCCGUGCCCGCCCGCGUCGCCGCCAAGCGCCGCCGCAAGACCGGGAAUCGCCUCAUCUGCGAGAGGAUGUGCUUUAGCCGCCCGACGCCUGACGACCCCUUCAAUGAUCGCCACGGGAUGGAGACGAAGCAGAAACCCAGCAAGAGUGUGUCACCUCCUCCCCUCUCCGCCACCGAGGAGAGCAAGAAUCAAAGGUGUGAUGUUGCUGUGAGAGCGGAGCAGCGUGCCAGCGAAGGUGGUGGCGUCGGCAGCGACUGCGACUGGGACUAUGGUUGGUCUACCAAGUUCAUUAUGCUGUGCUUGAACGCCAUAGAUGGCGCGUGGAAGGAUCGACAAGCAGCGCCUGAUGGUAGCUUGGAUGUUUCUCUUUUCGCCUGCCACUGGGGUGUUGAUUUCUGGAAGUAUUGUUCUUCCGGCUCGCACAUCAUCGACACCAGUGGGUCUUGCCCUACCACAGAGCAGGUCGCUUGGUUGGUGUCUACAGCUUCUGAUAUCAUUACGAGGAAGGAGAUGCAGGGGCAUGUCGUUCCCAGUCCCUUCCUUCUUUUCCUUGUGCCAACGCGGGAGAAGGCUGCCCAGGUAAGGUCAGUGUGCAAACCACUCAAGGCCCUAGGAAUACACACAGUAAGCUUGCAUCCUGAUGCACCAUUGGAUCGCCAGGUUCAGGGUUAGAGAAGUUGCGAGCCUGAGUUUCUUGUAUCUACUCCAGAGAGGUUGCUUGAACUUGUUUCCCUCAAGGCAAUUGACAUCUCUGGCGUAUCACUAUUGGUACUUGACGGAUUCAACACCUUCCUAGAUCUUGGCUUCGUGGAUAAACUUAAUUCUGUCAGGGAAACUAUAUCUGGAAAUCCACAAGUCGUUCUCUUCAGUGAUUGCUACAGUGAAGUGUUCACGUCGUUUGCCCAAAAUAUACUUUCAGGACCAGUUACAAGACUGUCAGAGCGAUGUCGUUAGUUGUCAAAGUGCAUUCAUAUCACAACUAGUGCACUUCCAUACAACACAAGAAGAAAAAGUAGCUAAGAUCAAACAAAUUAUUACCGCAAUAUUCAGCAGUGAAGUUCCAAUACCUGAUAAGAUCCUACUUAUAUCAAGAACUGCAAAUAAGUUUCAGAUGUUGAGAUCUUCCCUCGAAGAAGGUUAUGAGAUAUCCGAAGACUCUUCAUGUGCCUUUUCUAUUAUCUCUGACAGCAGAAAGGCACUCAGAGUCUUCGCUACGGACUGUGAGAGUUUAUACGAGGAAGAUCUCGAGGAAUUUGGUACCACCAUAUUCAUGGAUCUUCCGACCUCGAUCGAAGACUAUGUACACGUUCUCACGACGAUGGCACGCCAUUCAAUUACUGGUGCCUUGCAUAGUUUCUUCUGUAAAGGAGAUGCCGCUCUUGCUCAACCCUUAGUCGAGGUACUCAUGCAGUGUGGUCAGAUGUUGCCUGAGAUCCUUCAAAAUAUAUGAUUAUUCGGGUUAAAGAUUUAUUUUCCUCUAUGAACAGAUACUACCAACGGUUAUCGAUUUCAUUCUCAUUCUUUACUUGCUCUGUUUUUUAUAUCUUCGCUCAUGUUAAUAGUGGAACACAUUAAGUAGUCACGCCCUUGUGACCAUUGAUGGAUGUGUAAGACUCUGUUAUUCUGUUUUAUAUUUUUUUAGUGGAUGCUUUUUGUGUUGGCAAAACCAAAUUACAUAAAACUUGUAGUGCGUUUUUUUCCCCCAAACAACUGAUUGAUAUAUUCUCAAGAAGUUUGAUAUGAUGUCAAAUUGGCAUGCAAUUUUUGUUAGAAUUUCCCUUGCAAUUCUCUUUCUGGAAUACCAAAUAUGCUUGUUAGAAAUAAGUUAAAUUCCAUUAGAACAUCGUGUAUGAUUUUGCUUCUCUGUAUAUGGUCACUACAGCUAACACUUGUAGUCACCGGCUGGAUUGCAUCAGCAUACUCGAAUAAAUGAUUAUGAUUACAGUCAAAUGUUAUUGUGUGUUUGUGACCCAUUCAUUCCUUGUCGGCU